Molecule: long non-coding RNA, 814 nt
Organism: Exaiptasia diaphana
Lineage: Eukaryota; Metazoa; Cnidaria; Anthozoa; Actiniaria; Aiptasiidae
Exons: 3
Source: RefSeq, a predicted model, not a curated record
AUUUGACCACGUUCUUUCACACCUAUGCCUCGUGUGUUGGACCUAAGCUUGCAACAUGGAUUCGACAAGGAGAGAAGCUGCUUUUGAGGCUUUUAAAGCCGAGUUUGUACGAAAUGUUUAAGUUAAGUCGAUCAGCCUGCGGUUUGAUCAUCUUUCCCCCAAAUGUAAGCUUUUAAUCUGACUAUGAUCUUUGUAAAACAAUUCAGUUACKAUGUCCCAAAACCACUGAUAGAUCUGUUGGAAAGUUUUAAACUGAAACCAAAAGAGACAGACGAACAGGGCAGAUCACGAAUUUAUCGCCGACUUUGGGCGAUUUUAUGGUUUGGAAGUGGACAAAAGCUCGGAGAUACCAAACGUGGUGCACCAACGUAUGUUUAACCCUCCAUCCCUAAAGAGAAUCAUAAGGGAAACCUUUCCUGGGGAGAUACAUGACAAGCCUGAUGCAGACCACCAAAAUGUAUACAAAGUAAACCUUGGCGACCUUGCAAGAGCAAAGUGGCCUGUUUCAAAAAAAAGUAGACUCAUUUAUUAUAACACUAUCGUAAACAUUUUAGACAACUUUUGUUACUAGAGUGAAUUGUUCUUUUGCUUGCUGAAAGCUGUAACACAUAGUAGUUUUAUCCCCAGGUACUGUGAAAAUAACUAAAUAUCGUCUUUCAUUUCUAAGACCGCAAGAUUUACUUUAUUGAAGAAACAUUUGAUCAAAAAUAUAGUUAUUAAUGAAUACAGUUAUAAUGUACCUGCUGUUACUACAGAGUUUCAACUUUCUUUAUUCUAAAUAGCUCAAAUGGAUGCAUAUUCAYUCAAACUUGAU